UCUGGUUGAUCCUGCCAGUAGUCAUAUGCUUCUCUCAAAGAUUAAGCCAUGCAUGUCUAAGUAUAAGCAAUUUAUACAGUGAAACUGCGAAUGGCUCAUUAAAUCAGUUAUCGUUUAUUUGAUAGUUCCUUUACUACAUGGUAUAACUGUGGUAAUUCUAGAGCUAAUACAUGCUUAAAAUCUCGACCCUUUGGAAGAGAUGUAUUUAUUAGAUAAAAAAUCAAUGUCUUCGGACUCUUUGAUGAUUCAUAAUAACUUUUCGAAUCGCAUGGCCUUGUGCUGGCGAUGGUUCAUUCAAAUUUCUGCCCUAUCAACUUUCGAUGGUAGGAUAGUGGCCUACCAUGGUUUCAACGGGUAACGGGGAAUAAGGGUUCGAUUCCGGAGAGGGAGCCUGAGAAACGGCUACCACAUCCAAGGAAGGCAGCAGGCGCGCAAAUUACCCAAUCCUAAUUCAGGGAGGUAGUGACAAUAAAUAACGAUACAGGGCCCAUUCGGGUCUUGUAAUUGGAAUGAGUACAAUGUAAAUACCUUAACGAGGAACAA
This 543-nucleotide ribosomal RNA is filed under the name uncultured fungus. RNAcentral describes it as "SSU rRNA". It matches the Rfam family "Eukaryotic small subunit ribosomal RNA", at positions 1 to 547 of the family's 1831-position model. The record is from RNAcentral. Lineage: Eukaryota; Fungi.